RNAcentral lists this ribosomal RNA (200 nucleotides) under uncultured bacterium. Its description in RNAcentral is "partial 16S ribosomal RNA". It matches the Rfam family "Bacterial small subunit ribosomal RNA", at positions 29 to 238 of the family's 1533-position model. The record is from RNAcentral.
AGUGAACGCUGGCGGUAGGCCUAACACAUGCAAGUCGAACGGCAGCACAGGAGAGCUUGCUCUCUGGGUGGCGAGUGGCGGACGGGUGAGGAAUACAUCGGAAUCUACCUUUUCGUGGGGGAUAACGUAGGGAAACUUACGCUAAUACCGCAUACGCCCUACGGGGAAAGGAUCUAUCGCCAUUGGAGCGGCCCGCGUUG